Molecule: ribosomal RNA, 253 nt
Filed under: uncultured bacterium
Lineage: Bacteria
Description: partial 16S ribosomal RNA
Rfam family: Bacterial small subunit ribosomal RNA
Source: RNAcentral
GACGAAGGUGGCGACCGUUGUUCGGAAUCACUGGGCAUAAAGAGCACGUAGGCGGCAGGGUGUGUCGGGUGUGAAAUCCCUCGGCCUAACCGAGGAAUUGCGCCCGAAACUACCCUGCUUGAGGAUGGAAGGGGAGCGUGGAAUUCCUGGUGGAGCGGUGAAAUGCGUUGAUAUCAGGAGGAACACCGGCGGCGAAGGCGACGCUCUGGUCCAUUACUGACGCUGAGGUGCGAAAGCCAGGGGAGCAAACGGG